AAUACAGAAAUCUUGUGAGCACGGCAGUAGGUAAGGCAGAAUGCAAAAGUCCUGGGAGCACGGCAGUAGAUAAGCCAAUAGCAAGGUAGGCGGUGGUGAGAGUAGCAAGGUAGAUGGUGGCGGCGGACUAGGAUUAUAGGUUAGGUGUAUAGUGCAGUGGACAUAGGUAGUGUUAUAAGGUUAGGGUAGAGACAGAUCAAAACACAGCAACAUCAUCGGCAAUGACAAUAACAACGGAAAGUGAAGCAAACAAAGUCAAUAUCGGUAAUGGUAACAUCAACGGCGGUAACAACGGCAAUAUCAACGGUGGCAGUAGCGGCAAUGGCAACAAUAAAUUCUUCCAUAUAAACUUUAGCUAAUUCACACAGACACAACUUCUCUUCAAUCAUCCUCUCCCCUUAAAGAGAAGGGGCCGUCAGAGUCAAGAAAUAAGCAACAUCUUCAUGGGAAUACAUAAGGGUAAUUGGGAUACAUCAAUAAACAUAUCCGUUU
This 492-nucleotide long non-coding RNA is filed under the name Prunus persica (peach). RNAcentral's name for it is "long non-coding RNA (PPER_LNC005983)". Lineage: Eukaryota; Viridiplantae; Streptophyta; Magnoliopsida; Rosales; Rosaceae. The record is from RNAcentral.